GGGGGUGACCGGUUUCGACAGGUUGACGUCGGGGUGCGAUGUGCAGGCGGGGGUUGGUCGGCUGGCCCCCUCAUCAAGCCGAUCGAAACAAAACUGCCAACGAUAACUUCGAACUGGCCCUCGCCGCGUAAGCGGUGAGCGAGUCCCCGUGAUCUUCCGGUAGCGGGCUCGUUAAACCUUCCAAGGGGUGGCUACGGCCUGCCCGACGAAGGGACGGAAUGGGACGCCGCCCCCGCCUCCAAGCGGCGUUCGAGACAAGGAGGCGAGUCCUCGAUCAGGGUUGUCCGUUUCCCCUGCAGAGGUCACGCCCAACGGACCAAGCCUGUGGACGAACACCCAUCCCACGCUUCUUGGACGCGGGUUCAACUCCCGCCACCUCCACCA
This 384-nucleotide transfer-messenger RNA is filed under the name Holophagaceae. Its description in RNAcentral is "Holophaga sp021287085 Standard tmRNA". It matches the Rfam family "transfer-messenger RNA". From Rfam's summary of the family: Bacterial tmRNA, also known as 10Sa RNA or SsrA, is named for its dual tRNA and mRNA-like properties. RNAcentral also lists the same sequence under 1 other name. Lineage: Bacteria; Pseudomonadati; Acidobacteriota; Holophagae; Holophagales. The record is from RNAcentral.